RNAcentral lists this ribosomal RNA (442 nucleotides) under uncultured bacterium. Its description in RNAcentral is "partial 16S ribosomal RNA". It matches the Rfam family "Bacterial small subunit ribosomal RNA", at positions 338 to 795 of the family's 1533-position model. The record is from RNAcentral.
CCUACGGGAGGCAGCAGUAGGGAAUCUUUCACAAUGGGCGAAAGCCUGAUGGAGCAACGCCGCGUGCAGGAUGAAGGCCUUCGGGUUGUAAACUGCUUUUAUAAGCGAGAAAUAUGAUGGUAACUUAUGAAUAAGGAUCGGCUAACUACGUGCCAGCAGCCGCGGUCAUACGUAGGAUCCGAGCAUUAUCCGGAGUGACUGGGUGUAAAGAGUUGCGUAGGUGGCAUAAUAAGUAGCUAGUGAAAUCUGGUGGCUCAACCAUUCAGACGAUUAGCUAAACUGUUAAGCUCGAGACCGUUAGGGGUAACUGGAAUUUCUAGUGUAGGAGUGAAAUCCGUAGAUAUUAGAAGGAACACCAAUAGCGUAGGCAGGUUGCUGGGACGGUUCUGACACUAAGGCACGAAAGCGUAGGGAGCAAACGGGAUUAGAUACCCCUGUAGUC